Pongo pygmaeus (Bornean orangutan) is the source of this 4230-nucleotide long non-coding RNA. RefSeq lists it as uncharacterized. NCBI's taxonomy places the organism in Eukaryota, Metazoa, Chordata, Mammalia, Primates, Hominidae. The record is from RefSeq and is a predicted model, not a curated record. The transcript has 6 exons.
UUAAAUAUUUUGAUGCUUCCUGUAUUGAACUGAAAUACUGAUUUUUACUUAACUAAAGGGAUGAAGGAACUAACUAUAUGUACAUUUGUUUUUAAUCAACAUUAAUUUAGGUAAAUGUAUUCAGUUUUGUGUGGAGUGUAUGGGGGUUACGUUUGUGCAGUCUGUGCAUAUGUGUAAAUAUAAAUGUGCAUCUAAAGGGCAUUAUGCCCAACUAGGUCAGAAGAACUGGAUCAAAACAGUUGAAACUUAACAUGGCUAAAUGUAAGUCCUCAUGGGAGGAAACCUGGUUUGGCAACAAAUUAUUUGAAAAAGUUUUGGAAAGUUUGUUGGCCAAAAAUAUUACAAGCCUUGUUAAGAAAAAUGUUGCAAUCUUGAACAUUGAAGUGUAGAUUUAAUGGCAGUUUAAUUGACAAGAUAGUCUUUAUAUCUAAUAAACAGCUCUGUGGUGUUGUUUCCUUUUGGAUACUACAUUUUAAGGGGGCAUCCUAUAAACUGUUUAACCCAAAAGCAGUGUGAUGGUUAAUAUUGAGUGUCAACUUGGUUGGAUUGAAGGAUGCAAAGUAUUGUUCCUGGGUGUGUCUGUGAGAGGGUUGCCAAAGGAGAUUAACAUUUGAAUCAAUGGACUGUGAGAGGCAGCCCCACCCUCAAUCUGGGUGGGCACCAUCUAAUCAGCUGCCGGUGUGGCUAGAAUAAAAGCGAGCAGAGGAACAUGGAAAGACUAGACUGGCUGAGUCUUCUGGCCUUCAUCUUUCUCCCAUGCUGGAUGCUUCCUGCCCUUGAACAUUGGACUGCAAGUUCUUUAGCUUUUGGACGUUUGGACUUACACCAGUGGUUUGCCAGGGGCUCUCAGACCUUCUGCCACAGACUGAAGGCUGCACUGUCAGCUUCCCUACUUUUGAGGUUUUGGUACUCAGACUGGCUUUCUUGCUCCGCAGCUUGCAGGCGGCGUUAUGGGACUUUACCUUGUGGAUCAUAACUGAGAACCCUCUCUUGGGAUCUGGAUCAGGACCCCUUUCUGGUAACAUCUUCCUGGCAAACCCCAAAGGGAUGAUACUGAGGAGACUUCUGACCCAAAGGAAAUGGACUGGCUAAAUUUGGCUUGGCCCCCACUGCUAUGGUGCAGUGAGCUGGGUUACUAGGGCCACUUAGGAAAAGGGAACCCAGAAGCCUAGAAUGCUGGCAAAAGGAAUCAAGAAAAACUUUUUUUUAAGCUACUUGUAGCUUUUCACAAUUGAGUAAGAUAUACUCCUGUAAACAAAAUUUGGAGCACAUUUGUUUCUCUCUACCUGAUUUCUCCAGAAUUUGGAAACUAGUUGACAACUUUGUGCCCUGUCUCCCAGUUUAACAUGGACCUUUCAGUCUGUAAUGCAGAGGAUCCUCUAGAGCAUAACUCCACAAGGCAGAAGACAAGUUUACUGUGGACAAAAAAAAUGGGCUAGAAUGUCUUCAGCUUCUCAGGCCCUUAAUAGGGCUGAUGAUGGAUGACUCUACUGGAGAAAAGGAAGACAAAGAGGUUUCAGAUCAUCAAUAAAGCAGCUGACUCUAAAGAAACGGCUAGAAAUCAUAUUUAAAGUCAAUCUUAAAUGAAUUUGAAAAAAAUACACAUAAAGAUCAUUACCUGCCUCAUUUGGACAUAUCAGACCUAUGAAUAUUUAUGUAGAAACAAGAGCUUAUAAUUAUCACAAAAAGAAAAUGAACACUACUUUUCCCAUUUAGAAAAAUAUGAAAGGCAAAUUUUAAAUGAAAGUCCUCUUGGGACAUUUGAUAUGUCAUGAACUAUCAAGACCAUGACUAUUUUUUAAUAGCUUUUGAAAUCUUUCUUGAAAAUGUCUCUCUUCUUUUCUCCGUUCUUAUUAUUUAUUCCUUAGUUUCGACCUUAAUAUGUUUAUUAUUCUCAGUUGCUUCUGUAAGCCUUAACUUUUAUCAAAUUUGUAAAAUAGCAGAGAAUAGAAUUUUGAUGUCAUUCAAAUGCCUCACCUAGUACUAUGCACAUAGUAAACACACAACUAAUACAACUGCACUUGGAUUCAAAGAUCCUUCAAUGGUGGAGAAUAGAAAAGCUAUAGGGCAGGAUUUCUAGUCUGCACAGAGCUGAGCACAGAGGAGCAGUGCUGUGUCAAGGGCAAGACUCUCACAAGUGGCUGGAGCAAACAGACAGGAAAGACUCUUCCCCUAGAACCUAAGUAGCCAGUUGUUCAGGCCCAAAGGACCCCUCUGUUGCUAAAUCAGGGAUCAAGCCUUAAAUAGGUUAAUUUUUUCCUUAUGUGAACAUACAAGGGUAAGCAGACUUACCAUUCUCAUCAAAAGGAGAUGGAAAAGGGACACAGAGGUCUGACACCUGCAUAAGCUAACUAGCUACCUGCAAUCUAGCUGGUACAAUAGCUAUCUUUAAUUUUUAGUAAGGGAGCUCAAGUAAGUUGCCCUAGAUGAAAAAACCAGUAAGGAGAAAGCUUAAAUAACUUGCCCAAGAUGACACAGCUAGCACAGGGCAGUGCUUGAGUAACUUCCCGAGGUUACACAAGGUAGUGAGAGUUGGAAUUGCUAGGUUGUUCAGCACCACACUUUCCUCCUCUCUACCUCAAUGGUUCCUGGCUCUGUGUGGGUGUCUCCUAGCAGAUAAAAUGGUCCUCUUCCAUUUACAUUUGCCUUAUCCUUAUAUCUUCCAAGUGGUUCAUAAGACAAAAAGUGCCUGCCCUUGAUAGACUGCCUCCCACUGCAGCAAGUCUAGCAUUGAGGAGCCCUAAGACUAGAAUGACAGCUUCCUAGAGGGAGGAUAGAUAGGAAAGGCUCCUGAGACCUGGGGCCUGGGAGAAGGAAGAAGUAGGUUCAAGAUUAAGAGGAAGUGAGUGAUACGCUUGGCUCAGACAUAAAAUGUAAUGCCCACCAAAAAACUCAGUCAUCAAUCUAAAUAAUAUUUACUGAAAUGAUUUUUAAAAUCAUAGUGUGAGAAACCCAUGAAGAACAAAAUAUCAAACUUGUAAAUAAAGACAGGAUCUGGCAGGGCCAGUGUGAUGGUGAGGCAAGUGAGGCUAAGUCAUGUAAAUGAAGGGUUGGACCCUAUCUUAAACUGCUGAAAUUUUAUUUAUCAUGGUAUUUUCUGGCAUUUUGAUUGUUAAAAUAAUUCAUUAUAUUAUUUAUCUUGAUUACUGCAUUUUGGCACCCCCAUAAAUUUUGUGCCUGAGCUGACUGCCUCACUCACUUCAUUCUAACAUUUUGGCUUUAGGGUAAAGGCUGGGGAGCCAAUCUGAACCUGACAAAUAGUCUGGACCUCACAAAAGAAAGGAGAAAGAUGGGAGCCUCACUACAAAUUUCAUGCCAGGCUCCUCUUGGUACAUUAUUUUGUUUAUUCCUAACAGCCACCCUCCAAGGCAGCUAUUAGUAUUAUCAUUUAUAUAGGCAACUGAGUGCCAGUAUUACAAAGGUAGAAAGUGACUGAGCUGGGUUUCAGCCAAGGCCUGUCUGUCUCUAGAGCCUGGCAAUUCCCACUACUGGCUGAUACGUGCCUAAUAGUUUAUAACCAAAUUUCUUGAUGUUUUCUCCACCUUUCAAGUCACAGGCUCCACCACGUGAAGACAGAAAUCACAAUGGGAAAUUUUAUUUGCUUGUCUACUCUUGAAGCUGGGUGAAAUUUUAAACCAUAGCUCUCCUUUCCUGACAUCCUUAAAUUACUAUUCUUCCCAAGUUAUUCAUAUUUUAUGUCUAGUAUGAAGCUCAGACAGUAAAGGUGUGAAUGCAAUGCACCCGUUUUACAUGUAGCAUUCAUUACUAUACUCGAUUGGUGUGCCAUUUGCUGCACCACAGCAUAUUUAGAACAGAACAGAUCAGUCAGUUGAGGGAAUUCAGUAACACUCUACACUUGUAUCCAGUCAAUUGUUGAUGGUAAUCCAAUAUUGGAUGUGGUGAAAAGAGGGUGGGCUUAGGGUCUAAGUGAAAUUGACUGCCAGUGUGUGACUCUGAAUCGUUUAUUUAUAUCUCUGAGGUUUUGGUUCCCUUUUUUAUAAAAAUUUUAUUAAAUAAGUUUUCAUUUUUCCAUAAAACUAAGAUUGAAGAAAAGUCUGCCUUUCUUAAAGUCAACAAGGUCUACUGAUAAAGAAGGUACCGUGUAAUCUCUACUUUCAUGACAGAAAUCCAGGCCUAGUCAAUACUUUUUUCUAUUAUCACUGUAAUUAAGGCAUAAGGCUUUCCCUGAUAUAACAAAUGAUUAAACCUCUCAAUAAAUAACUUCACAUA